UCUCUCUCUCUCUCUCAAAAACCAAAGACUUAAAAUUGAAAUGAAAAUUCAUGACUUACAGCCAGCGCCGACAAAAUAAAGCAGACGGAGGAGCUAUGGGGCUGGGGGGCCCGCUAAUUCUUCUCCACUCAUUUCUCUUCUCUUCUCUUCUUCUAAUUCUUCUGUGCGUGAAGUUGAGAACUGAGAAAGAUCACGACCUGUUUUUAGUCCGAAACUGAAAUGGGUCGGAUCAUAUCGAACUCGGCCAGAAAGGAAGGUGAAAGUUGAACGUUGCUAUUAUUUUCUGAGCAUAGUUCACGUUUUCACUGCACACCAUGACAAAAAUCGAUGCUUUGAGGAGACAGUUUCUGGUGUGUGUGCUUUCUCUGUUUCAAUUUUAUGGAUUCAUGGUAUCUGUGUAAAAUAGUAGUGGGGUUUACUUGAGGUUGGAUUGUGUAUUGUACAAAACAUCGAACAAGAGUAACUCUGUUUUUUCUUUUUCAUAUUUAAGUUUGUUUGAAAGUUGAAUGAAAGAUUUACAUGAUGACCUAUUUUACAAUAAAAUGUUGAAAAUGACAGUUUCAAGUCGUCUUGGUGUGUGUACUCUGAGAGAAACAGGAUUAGAAACAAAGACCUACUAUAGGAACUUCAUCAAACAGGGUACUACAUAGAUAAUGGAUACUACACCGCGGGAUUGGAAGAUGGUUUAUACAUAGUUAGAACAAUCAUAUCAAAUUUUCUUUUCUUUCCUUGUCCUUAUUUCUCAGUUUCACAGUGUUCAACCGUCAUUUAAAAUCAGUGCAUUGUUUGAUGUUUUAAUGUCAUCUGUUUUCCCAGUGUCUUUCCUGUUACUGUAUAUGGUGCUUUCCUACCCCUACGUAUAUUCUAUCGUCUUCAUGCUUUGUGUGCAUUUCUACGGUGCCUUUUUGUUGCUCUCUGUGUGCUGGUCCUGUGGCCAUCAUUUGAUGUAAUACUAGCAGAUCAGGUUUCUGUUGUCAUCCCAAUGCUAAAGCUUAAGAAGACAACAAAUGUAUUUGCACCUAUUUGAUAUCAUGUUGUUUAAUAUGUUACAUCUUUAUGUCCAGGUUUUUUUUAUUGUCAUUUUCCAGAUUUAUUGCUAGCUCAACACACACACACACACACACACACACACACACACACUAUUUUGAGGAGUGCAUAUAGGAAACCUUUAGAUUUCAUAGAAGAAAUGACAACUGGUCUGAUUCCAUAUCUUGGCUUUAUCAUAUUUAUCUGAUGUGUCUUGUGCACCUUUUUAGUGUUCUUUUGCAGUGAUCAUACUACUAUUUCUCACUGAUUUAAAAAAAAAAUUAAGUAUGGCUGCAGGAAUGGCAGAUAAGAUUCAUGUUAUAGCAAAUUCACAGCAUCUUUGUUUGCAAAGACAUUUAGGAAUCUUAACGGAUGACGAAUUCAGCCAGUCUUUACCCAGCUGUUAAUGUGAAACAGUUGAUGAACCCACCAAUUCGUAUAAGUAACGAACAUGUUUGUAUAUGGUUUACAGUUUCCUUGAUGAUUUUCAUUUCCGAUUUUAUGUGGUAGCUUACCGUUGUUUUCCUGCUUUGAUAUUUUCCUUGUUGUAGGAUAAAUUUUCUGUCGAUAAACUGUUUUGAGAGGAAAAGGAAUAUAGACUUGGAAAUUUCAGCUUU
This is a non-coding RNA of Prunus mume (Japanese apricot), 1643 nucleotides long. NCBI's taxonomy places the organism in Eukaryota, Viridiplantae, Streptophyta, Magnoliopsida, Rosales, Rosaceae. The record is from RefSeq and is a predicted model, not a curated record.